Molecule: unclassified non-coding RNA, 165 nt
Filed under: uncultured Valsaceae
Lineage: Eukaryota; Fungi; Ascomycota; Sordariomycetes; Diaporthales; Cytosporaceae
Description: sequence contains ITS2
Source: RNAcentral
CAACCCUCAAGCCUAGCUUGGUGUUGGGGCAUUACCUGACUGUUUUACAGGAGGGUAAGCCCUGAAAUUUAGUGGCGAGCUCGCCAGGACUCCGAGCGCAGUAGUUAAACCCUCGCUCUGGACAGUACUGGCGCGGCCCUGCCGUAAAACCCCCAACUUCUGAAA